This 1356-nucleotide ribosomal RNA is filed under the name uncultured marine eukaryote. RNAcentral describes it as "SSU rRNA". It matches the Rfam family "Eukaryotic small subunit ribosomal RNA", at positions 411 to 1779 of the family's 1831-position model. The record is from RNAcentral.
CACUUCUAAGGAAGGCAGCAGGCGCGCAAAUUACCCAAUCCUGACUCAGGGAGGUAGUGACAAGAAAUAACAAUAAACCGGCUUAUGCCGGUUUAAUUGGAAUGAGUACAAUUUAAACAUCUUAACGAGGAACAAUUGGAGGGCAAGUCUGGUGCCAGCAGCCGCGGUAAUUCCAGCUCCAAUAGCGUAUACUAAAAUUGUUGCAGUUAAAAAGCUCGUAGUUGGAUUUCUGUGGGGACGGAGCGGCCGGCCGCACAUCGCGGUUCGAGCUAGCGCUUUCCCUACAUCCUGCCGCGAACCGUGCUACCAUUAGUUUGGUGGCGCCGGGGAUCGGCUCGAUUACUUUGAGAAAAAUAGAGUGUUCAAAGCAGGCCACAUGCCUUGAAUAAGUUAGCAUGGAAUAAUAACUAAGGACUUCGGUUCUAUUUUGUUGGUGUUCGGGACUGAAGUAAUGAUUGAUAGGGACAGUUGGGGCGGUCUGUAUUCCAAAGCGAGAGGUGAAAUUCUUAGACCUUCGGAAGACAAACAGCUGCGAAAGCGUUCCGCAAGGAUGUUCCCUUUGAUCAAGAACGAAAGUUGGGGGAUCGAAGACGAUCAGAUACCGUCGUAGUCUCAACUAUAAACUAUACCAGCUAGGGAUCGGCCAACGUUAUUUUAUACCGACUUGGUCGGCACCUUAUGAGAAAUCAAAGCAUCUGGGUUCCGGGGGGAGUAUGGUCGCAAGGCUGAAACUUAAAGGAAUUGACGGAAGGGCACCACCAACCGUGGAGCCUGUGGCUUAAUUUGACUCAACACGGGAAAACUUACCAGGUCCAGACAUAGUAAGGAUUGACAGAUUGAUAGCUCUUUCUUGAUUCUGUGGGUGGUGGUGCAUGGCCGUUCUUAGUUGGUGGAGUGAUUUGUCUGGUUAAUUCCGUUAACGAACGAGACCCCAGCCUGCUAAAUAGCGCGCGUGAGCUUUGCUCGCGGCGAGCUUCUUAGAGGGACUAUGAUGCGCGAUAGCACAUGGAAGUUUGGGGCAAUAACUGGUCUGUGAUGCCCUUAGAUGUUCUGGGCCGCACACGGGCUACACUGGCGCCUGCAACGAGCAUAUCAGCUGGCCCGAGAGGGUCUUGGCUAAUCUUUUGAACCGGCGCCGUGCUUGGGAUUGACCUUUGCAAUUGUUGGUCAUGCAACGAGGAAUGCCUUGUAAACGCGAGUCAUCAGCUCGCAUUGAAUACGUCCCUGCCCUUUGUACACACCGCCCGUCGCUCCUACCGAUGAAUGUUCCGAUGAAAUUUUCGGAGAGCACCUGUGAACUUGGCUCUGCCUUGCGAACGGGAGGCUCAAAGUCACUUAAAUCUGAACAUUUCGAGG